RNAcentral lists this ribosomal RNA (253 nucleotides) under uncultured bacterium. RNAcentral's name for it is "partial 16S ribosomal RNA". It matches the Rfam family "Bacterial small subunit ribosomal RNA", at positions 524 to 776 of the family's 1533-position model. The record is from RNAcentral.
UACAGAGGUCCCAAGCGUUGUUCGGAUUCACUGGGCGUAAAGCGCACGUAGGCGGCUUUGUAAGUUAGAGGUGAAAGCCCAGGGCUCAACCCUGGAAUUGCCUUUAAGACUGCAUCGCUUGAACAUCGGAGAGGUAAGUGGAAUUCCGAGUGUAGAGGUGAAAUUCGUAGAUAUUCGGAAGAACACCAGUGGCGAAGGCGACUUACUGGACGAUUGUUGACGCUGAGGUGCGAAAGCGUGGGGAGCAAACAGG